AGGAAUAUAAUUUAAUUGGUAGAAUCACGGUCUUCAAAAUCGUUUAUUGGAGUUCAAUUCUCCAUGUUCCUG
Molecule: transfer RNA, 72 nt
Filed under: Gefionella okellyi
Lineage: Eukaryota; Malawimonada; Malawimonadea; Malawimonadida; Malawimonadidae
Description: tRNA-Trp
Rfam family: tRNA
About the family: Transfer RNA (tRNA) molecules are approximately 80 nucleotides in length. Their secondary structure includes four short double-helical elements and three loops (D, anti-codon, and T loops). Further hydrogen bonds mediate the characteristic L-shaped molecular structure. tRNAs have two regions of fundamental functional importance: the anti-codon, which is responsible for specific mRNA codon recognition, and the 3' end, to which the tRNAs corresponding amino acid is attached (by aminoacyl-tRNA synthetases). tRNAs cope with the degeneracy of the genetic code in two manners: having more than one tRNA (with a specific anti-codon) for a particular amino acid; and 'wobble' base-pairing, i.e. permitting non-standard base-pairing at the 3rd anti-codon position.
Source: RNAcentral